AAACUUGAGACCAAGGAACAGAAAGCAGCUUCUUCUUAUCACAGCAACCAGUCCAGAUUUUCUAAUCCAGCUAUUGAGCUUUUUAAUUAAACUUGAUACAAGUAAAUCAUAAAACUGUGGAGAAGCAUUGAAAGGAUGACUGACUGAACCAACUGGAUCCUCCCAGCCAAAGAGAGUAGUUUGCCCAUCCAGCUUUCGAGCACUUUAUCAGCAAGAUAUUGAAGAUGAGACUGUCUUGGGAUGCCUUUGAA
This 251-nucleotide unclassified non-coding RNA is filed under the name Hevea brasiliensis (rubber tree). Lineage: Eukaryota; Viridiplantae; Streptophyta; Magnoliopsida; Malpighiales; Euphorbiaceae. The record is from RNAcentral.